Molecule: long non-coding RNA, 735 nt
Organism: Orbicella faveolata
Lineage: Eukaryota; Metazoa; Cnidaria; Anthozoa; Scleractinia; Merulinidae
Source: RefSeq, a predicted model, not a curated record
UGAAAUGAUCAUUGACUCUGUUGCUCAACAAGGUGAGACACGACACUGCCCUGGCUAGAGAAUCCAUAUCUUUAAGAAGUAUGACGACUAAAAGGUUGCUGUCUGCCGCUUUGUGCAUUCUCCUUCUGUCUUCGGAUUUCAUGUUUUCCGAAGCGUUUAAUUCUAAUACUGUUGGUAGACGAAGUGCGAAGCGUCAGGAAAGUCUUCCAGAUGUCUGCCAGUUUGCGUUAGAACGCUGCAGUUUCCCGAUUGCUCAGCGGAGGUCACGUGACACAGACGCUGCUUACGAUUGGUUUAACAAAAGGAAAGUCGAUUACUAACGUCAAUAACAACGAAAAACCCUGAAUAAAAAAAAAAUUCAAUUAUUUUUAUGUUUAAAGUUGUUUUACCAAAUACGACGCUGGAGCUCAAAUGAUUUGAUUGACUGACCAAUGAUCAUAACGCAUGUUUUUUUCAUUGUUAAGUUUUCAGGCUUUCGCUUUUUCAUUCUUGAUUAUAUAUUUUUCAUUUUCAUUUUUGAUGUUUUUUUGUAUUAUUGUUAUAUUAUUAUCAUUGCUGAAUCAUCGCAAUAUUAAUUUAGUCUUAAGUUAAGACUGGUUAUCGUGUACAUCGCUCAGAGUUUCAUACCAUCCGUAGUGCAAACGUCACGUUUCAGAAGCGUUGUAAAUUAAUUUAAAACCUUGUAAAUUUUAACAUAAUAUGUAUAUUAAGAAGUAAACUCUUUGUUGGAUGCAA